CCCUUAGAUGUUCUGGGCCGCACGCGCGCUACACUGAUGCAUUCAACGAGUUUCUUCCUGGUCCGAGAGGAAUGGGUAACCUUUUGAAAGUGCAUCGUGAUAGGGAUAGACUAUUGCAAUUAUUGGUCUUCAACGAGGAAUUCCUAGUAGACGUAGUUCAUCAGACUGCAUCGAUUACGUCCCUGCCCUUUGUACACACCGCCCGUCGCUCCUACCGAUUGAAUGCUCAGGUGAGCCAUUCGGACUAUCAUCAUGCUGGUUUCCAGUUUUGAUGAAGGAAAGUCUUGCGAACCUUAUCAUUUAGAGGAAGGAGAAGUCGUAACA
RNAcentral lists this ribosomal RNA (324 nucleotides) under uncultured eukaryote. RNAcentral's name for it is "partial 18S ribosomal RNA". It matches the Rfam family "Eukaryotic small subunit ribosomal RNA", at positions 1470 to 1796 of the family's 1831-position model. The record is from RNAcentral.